GGGUGCAGCCGCCGUCGGCUGCAGGCAUCGUGGAUGGUCGGGCCGCCAUCC
RNAcentral lists this non-coding RNA (51 nucleotides) under unclassified sequences. Its description in RNAcentral is "Li+-I sequence". It matches the Rfam family "nhaA-I RNA". Rfam says of the family: Acidobacteria, Alphaproteobacteria, Betaproteobacteria and Gammaproteobacteria, Verrucomicrobia, cand. division NC10. Downstream gene The record is from Rfam by way of RNAcentral.